GAGAGUAGGCCUCUCGCAAUCAAGAGAUAGGUCGGAUUGCAAACUACCAUAAGCGGCUGCAAUUAAGAGUUGUGGUCGUGAGCGUUAUGGAAAAGGCAUGACAUGAUCAUGUUAUGU
This 117-nucleotide non-coding RNA is filed under the name Aquicella lusitana. The record is from RNAcentral. Lineage: Bacteria; Pseudomonadati; Pseudomonadota; Gammaproteobacteria; Legionellales; Coxiellaceae.